UACGUAGGUGGCAAGCGUUGUCCGGAUUUAUUGGGUUUAAAGGGUGCGUAGGCGGCCCUGUAAGUCAGUGCUGAAAUAUCCCAGCUUAACUGGGAGGGUGGCAUUGAUACUGCGGGGCUAGAGUACAGAUGAGGUAGGCGGAAUUGACGGUGUAGCGGUAAAAUGCGUAGAUAUGCGGAGGAACACCGAUGGCGAAGGCAAUCCCCUGGACCUGUACUGACGCUCAUGCACGAAAGCGUGGGGAGCAAACAGG
Molecule: ribosomal RNA, 253 nt
Filed under: uncultured bacterium
Lineage: Bacteria
Description: partial 16S ribosomal RNA
Rfam family: Bacterial small subunit ribosomal RNA
Source: RNAcentral